CCUACGGGGGGCAGCAGUGGGGAAUAUUGGGCAAUGGGCGCAAGCCUGACCCAGCAACGCCGCGUGAAGGAAGAAGGCUUUCGGGUUGUAAACUUCUUUUGUCAGGGAAGAGUAGAAGACGGUACCUGACGAAUAAGCCACGGCUAACUACGUGCCAGCAGCCGCGGUAAUACGUAGGUGGCAAGCGUUGUCCGGAUUUACUGGGUGGAAAGGGCGUGUAGCCGGGUUGACAAGUCAGAUGUGAAAUCCUGCGGCUUAACCGCAGAACUGCAUUUGAAACUGUUGAUCUUGAGUACUGGAGAGGCAGAUGGAAUUCCUAGUGUAGCGGUGAAAUGCGUAGAUAUUAGGAGGAACACCGGUGGCGAAGGCGGCCUGCUGGACUGUGACUGACGUUGAGGCCCGAAGGCGUGGGGAGCAAACAGGAUUAGAUACCCCAGUAGUC
RNAcentral lists this ribosomal RNA (442 nucleotides) under uncultured bacterium. RNAcentral's name for it is "partial 16S ribosomal RNA". It matches the Rfam family "Bacterial small subunit ribosomal RNA", at positions 338 to 795 of the family's 1533-position model. The record is from RNAcentral.